CCCUCCCCUCAGUCCCGGGUGCCCGGCUCGCGCUGCUGGGUGCGAGGAGAGUACCCCGCGCCCGCCCGCCCCUGCGCCCCCGCCCCGGCGUGCGAGGCGACGCGCCCUCCCGUUGCCCUGCCCGGUGCAUGGAGGGGCCCGUUCGGAUUCCGGCCGCCGCCGCCGUAGUCGCCGCCAGCGCGCGGGGGAUGACCUGGGGGUGGCUCUCCGAGCCGGCUGCAGCGCAGGAGGUCUGGGGGCUUAGUCUGCCCCGCUGAGAGUGAGCCAAGGCCUGAAGUGUGUCCUGCCUGCUUCUGCAAUCUGGCGCUAUGCAUCCGGAUCCUGGGCCCUUACAGACACUGCUGUAUGUUACGCUUCUGUUUCUGUGCCCUUCUGUGAAUUCAGACUUGGCACCUUAUUUUGUUUCGGAGCCACUAUCUGCUGUCCAGAAACUUGGUGGACCUGUAGUACUACAUUGUUCUGCUAAACCUGUGACAGCUCAUAUCUCAUGGUUGCAUAAUGGAAAAAGAUUGGAUAGAAACGUGGAACAGAUUAAGAUUCAUCAGGGGACUUUGACAAUUCUUUCUCUUGAGCCCUCCCAUAUGGGCCGCUACCAGUGCAUUGCCAACAAUAGCGUCGGUGCAAUUUUGAGUGGCCCGGCAACAGUAGCCAUCGCAGUUCUCGGUGAUUUUGGUUCAUCAACAAAGCAUGUUAUUACAGCAGAAGAAAAAAAUACUGGUUUCAUUGGCUGCGUGGUACCAGAUAGUAAUCCCAAAGCUGAGGUGCGCUAUAAAAUCCGGGGGAAGUGGCUGAAACAUUCCACAGAGAAUUACUUAAUCCUUCCAUCAGGAAAUCUUCAGAUUUUGAAUGUAUCUUUAGAGGACAAAGGAUCAUAUAAAUGUGCAGCUUUUAAUCCUGUCACACAUGAAUUAAAAGUUGAACCCAUUGGCCGAAAGCUCCUUGUGAGUCGCCCUUCUUCAGAUGAUUUUCACAUUCUUCACCCCACCCUUUCACAGGCAUUAGCGGUUCCCUCUCAUAGCCCUGUAACACUGGAGUGCGUAGUGAGCGGGGUCCCAGCUCCUCAAGUGCGCUGGCUGAAGGACGGUCGGGACCCUGGGCUGGGAAGCAAUUGGAGAAGGUUGCAUUCUCAUCUUGCCACAGAUAGCAUUGAACCAGUGGACUCUGGAAACUACUCCUGCACAGUGGGAAACAAGACUGGAGACAUGAAACACGUGACUUACAUGGUUCGCGUACUUGAACCUGCUUCAAUUUCUGAAGGACUGCAGAAUCAGACAGUGCCCCUGGGUGCCACAGUACAGUUUACUUGUGAAGUCUAUGGGAACCCAGCCCCUAACCGCACCUGGUUUCAUAAUGCAAAGCCUAUUCAUCCUUCACCGCGACAUCAAACUGCAGGGAAUGGAUUGAAAAUCAGUGGUGUUACCAUGGAAGAUUCUGGGCUAUAUCAGUGUGCAGCAGAUAAUGGGAUUGGAUUUACGCAAUCUACUGGGAGACUUGAAAUUGAAAAAGACAGCGGACUCAAGCCGGUUAUAUUUACAGUGCCAGCGAAUGUGAAGGUGGUAGAUGGAGACUUUGUGACUUUGUCCUGCAAUGCCACUGGAGUACCAGUUCCAGUCAUUCGUUGGUAUGACCGGCAUGGGUUGAUAACCAGCCAUCCGUCUCAAGUCCUUAGAUCUAAAUCCCGAAAAUCACACCUUUUAAGACCCGGGGGUUCUGACCUGGAGCCUGUGUACUUCAUCAUGUCCAGAGCUGGCGCAAGCUCUCUCUAUAUUCAGACUGUUACUCAAGAACAUGCUGGGAAGUACACCUGCGAAGCUACAAAUGAACAUGGCACCACACAGUCAGAAGCAAUCCUCACAGUUGUUCCUUUUGAAGCAAAUACAAAAGCAGAAACAGUCACACCUUCCAGUCCCACUCAGAAUGAUGAAAGAGGCAGUUCAGAAAUUGCGUCAUCGAGCUCAUCUCCCGUGAAGGAGCAUCCCAGGGCAGUGGGAUCAUCAUUAGAGAAAAACGCCAGCGGUGCCUCUGUCCCUGAUGCCCCCAUCAUUCUGAGCCCUCCGCAGACCCACACACCGGAUACAUACAGCCUGGUCUGGCGGGCGGGGAAGGACGGCGGGCUGCCCAUCAAUGCCUAUUUUGUAAAGUAUCGGAAGCAGCUAGAUGAUGGUGUUGGUGUGGUAGGAAGUUGGCACACAGUUCGCGUCCCGGGAAGUGAAAAUGAGCUCCACUUGACAGAACUGGAGCCGUCUAGUCUCUAUGAAGUUUUGAUGGUAGCAAGAAGCGCAGCGGGUGAAGGACAACCUGCCAUGCUUACCUUUCGAACUAGCAAAGAGAAAACAACAUCCUCAAAAAACACCCAGGUAUCCUCUCCGCCCAUGGGCAUUCCUAAGCGCCCUGUUGUUUCAGAGGCUGCAGACAGCUUUGGAGUGGUGCUUACAGAUUCCUCUAGGCAUAGUGGAGGUGCUUGGGGUUCACAAGAGGAAUAUCGAAAUCACCCAUGUGAUACAGUUCCAGAGGCACCCGACCGGCCUACUGUCUCCACCGCAUCGGAGACGUCCGUCUAUGUCACCUGGAUUCCUCGGGCAAAUGGGGGCUCUCCCAUCACCGCCUUCAAGGUCGAGUACAAGCGGAUGAGGACUAGUGAUUGGCUGGUGGCAGCUGAGGAUAUCCCGCCUUCCAAACUGUCUGUGGAAGUUCGUAGUUUACAGCCAGGUUCAACAUACAAAUUUAGGGUCAUUGCUAUCAACCAUUAUGGUGAGAGCUUUCGGAGUUCGGCAUCUCGGCCUUAUCAGGUGGCUGGGUUCCCCAGUCGCUUUUCUAACCGUCCAAUAGCUGGACCCCACAUUGCAUAUACAGAAGCUGUCAGUGACACUCAGAUCAUGCUGAAGUGGACGUACAUUCCAUCAAGUAACAAUAACACUCCUAUUCAAGGAUUUUAUAUCUAUUACCGGCCAACGGAUAGUGACAAUGACAGUGAUUACAAGAGGGAUAUUGUAGAAGGAUCAAAGCAGUGGCACAUGAUUGGCCAUCUGCAGCCAGAAACUUCUUAUGAUAUUAAAAUGCAAUGCUUCAAUGAAGGAGGAGAAAGCGAGUUUAGUAAUGUGAUGAUCUGUGAAACUAAAGUGAAACGUGUUCCAGGAGCUUCUGAGUACCCUGUGAAGGACUUCAGCACCCCUCCAAAUUCUUCAGGGGGCGGAGGAAAUGUAGGGCCUGCUAGCAGCCCUGCCCGAAGCAGUGACAUGCUGUACCUGAUCGUCGGCUGCGUGCUCGGUGUGAUGGUCCUCAUCCUCAUGGCCUUCAUUGUGAUGUGCCUGUGGAAGAACCGCCAGCAGAAUACCAUACAGAAAUAUGAUCCACCGGGAUAUCUCUACCAAGGGUCGGAUGUUAACGGGCAGAUGAUGGAGUACACCGCUCUGCCUGGUACAAACCGGGUCGAUGGAGGCUUCACAAGCAGCGGCGCUCUCAGCAACGGCUGCUCCCACGCCCACCACAAGGUCCCUCACGGAGUCAACGGCAUGGUGAACGGGAGCUUGAAUGGAGGGCUUUACUCUGGGCACACAAGUUCUCUAACCAGGACACAUGUGAAUUUUGAACAUCCUUGUCAUCUAGUGAAUGGUGGCGGAAUGUACACGGCUGUGCCUCAGACUGACCCGUUGGAGUGCGUCAACUGUCGAAAUUGUCGGAACAACAAUAGGGCAAGUCUUUGCUGGCCUGUGUUGCUGCCCAGGUUAGUCAAAUGUCUCACCUUGCUCCCAGGAGCCAUUAUGUGAUUUCUGAAACUAGUUAUUGGCUGGGUGAAUAUCAGUAAGUACCUACCUUCAACUCUGGGAAAUUGGAAUCAUUAAAUUUAAAGCUAAUUCUUUUAACUUUGAAAUUGAAAACAAGUAUCUCCUUUCAUGAUCCCCCAAAUUAGCCAAAUUUGUAAUAAGCUUUGAAUGCCCAGAGGUAGAUGAUAUAUGAUUUACUCCCAAAAUAUGCAAAAUUUUAGUCAAUUUGCACUUUCAAAAUGUCUUCAAAGAGAUGAGGAAAUAGAUGUGAAAAAAUGAGAAUGAAAGGAAAAAAAGGGUUCAUUUAUUCAUUCAAUAAAUACUUGUUGAAGAUCUGUAUUGGGCCAGGCAUCAAGAUAGUCCCUGGGGAUAUAGCCGCGAGCAAAGCAGGCACAUCCCUGUCUUCACUGAACUUAUAGUCUAUAUAUGGGGAGACAUAACUCUUUUUAAAUGACACAAAUCAUAAAAAUGAAUAUAUAAUUAAAACUGGAUGCUUUAAGAGAAAAGUAAGAGUGUAUUAGAAAGAAGGAUCUCCCUAAGCAAGUGACAUUUUGCUCUGGAGCUCUGAAGAAUUUGUAAAACUAGGUAAAAGAGAAGGGGACAGAUUUACAACUUUCCAGGCAAAGAUAAGGUGCCAUUUAUGCAAAAUCUUCACAGCAGAAUGUCAGAGACCUCACAGGACUUAAAGAGGGCUCAUGUAGCAGGAACCUAGUAAGUAAAGGGGUCAGAGGUAAAAGAAGAGGGAAAUCAGAUUGUACAGAGCUAUGGCGAGUCGGUGAAAGAUUUUGAGUAGGACAACGUUGUGACAGAGCAUUCUGAAUAGAGUUUGGAGAAUGAAUUGGAUGGGGCAGAAGAGGGUACAGGGACAGUUGGAUGGCUUGUGCAGUGGUCCAUGUGAGAAACAGUGCUCUAGGGCAGGUGCAGCAGACAUGGAGAGAAAGAAGCAGAUGGGCUUGGUGCAAUUUUUAAGAAAGAAGACAUAGCUAAUCGUUUGAGGAGGUAGGCAGAGAGAGAGGUGUCAAGGCUGGAGUGGAGAUAACAGGGUACAAUUUGCUCAGCUUGGUAACUCUGCAGGAGAUGAAGAGAUACCGUGUACCCUUCUGCAUACCUCUGGGAGUCUUCCUUUUUAGACCCCUGUGGGCUGACCCUAGACCCCUUUCAUCAUCCCUCUAUUUUAGUAAUAACUACCUAGAUAGAAAACUUUGCCUAUAUUGCCUAAACUGGAGUACUGAUGUAAAAAUGUGAGCACAGUAAGAGGGGAAUGUGCUCCGUAACAAUCUAGGGAGUAUUAUUUGAUUUUAGGGCUUUUGUGGCACGUUGUAAAUAACUGCCUGCCUCACUAUGUUCAGUUCCUUUGAACCCUCUUCAGGUUUUAAGAGUAAUAUAUAAGAGGUCACUAUAAACAGCUGAAAAGAAGCAGAUUUAAUACAGCUUUGCAAGGAGCCAGUCCCCUACACUAAAGACUUUGCUAAGAAAUCCUUGUACAAUUUGCCGUUUCAAGAGGUAAGCAGAUUUGAGUCAAAUAAAUAAAAAGUUUUUUACCCUUCUCCUCCUCUUCUCUCAAUUCCAAAGGCAGUGGUGCAGUUCUGGAUUUGUAAUCAAAUGGGGUCUGUCAGUUGCUUGGCUAGUUUAAUGGGAAGGGUUCGACAUUAAAUCUGGCCCUUUCACCAUCAGUCCUGGUACUUUGUUGAAGCGUAGAGAGGACGCUGAUGGAGUUCACAGAUGAGCAAAUGGAGAGGUCUCAUCAGGAAGGAAAAAGAGAUUAAUUUUAAGGGUCCUAGAGAGAUUGGAAAUGGGCAGAAGUAGCCAAGUAAAAAUAAGCUUGGAAGAAAUGUGUAUAAUCCAUCUGGAACAAAAAGUACAAGCUAUAUACAUGGCUAAUAGUCAAGAGGAUAAAUGGAACUAUUAGGGGUAGUGACCUAAGAUUUGGUCUCUCUUCCGUGUAUGGUAAUCUGCCUAAUUCCCUAAGAAUUCAAAGCACUGUGUCUAAUUUUUUAGAUUGACCAGUACCUUCCUUUCGGGGACAUUCUGUGUCUCCUGCUUCUAAUCUGGAGACUGAGGGCCUGUUGUCAGAAAUCAGGUGGUUAAGGGUAGUGCUUUUGGUCUUUCCUUUGUGGGAGUGUGUGUGUGAGAGCUUGCCACGUUCAGUAAUGUUCUCAGUCAUUUAUUGUCACCCAGUGUUUAUUGUUGUGUAUUUUGUGACAGUCGCCAGUUCCCAGAAGGAAACCCCAACUAAGGCUGGGGAGCCAGUGUAGCAUGCAUCAAGUGUACAAUGACAACAGAGGACAACCACAGCCCUGGAGGGAUGUCUCAGGGUCCCGUUGCAUAGUAACUGAUGAUCUCCCCAAAAGUAAGGGCCAGGUCAGCAAAUGAUAGACGGUGGCAAGAGGGACAGCAGAGGCAAGCUGAAUAUAAAAAAGAAAAACAAAAACACCAAAACAUGACUGUUUCAGAAGUCUCAAGAACAUAUUCAUGAACAUAAGUAUCACACAUCCGAGUGAUACGCGGAUAGGUAGGUUGUCCUUGCCCUCCAGGGAUAAUCAAAAGAGGACACUUAAUGCAAAACUUACGUAACUAUCUAAUCAGACUAAUACAUACUUGUGCUUAACAAAUAUCCAGCCAUGUAACCAGAAAUGGAAUACUUCUCUAGAAAAUAUUUAGAGUUUCAUAAAGUUUCACUGGAAUGUCCAAAAUAUGUUUAGUCAAAUACUAAAGCAACAUAUUCUUCCAAGCACAAUCCUCCUACUCCUAUCUCUCAUUUCCUAGUCAGUGCUGUUCAGAUUGUUGGUUAAAGAAUAUUGUAUUAUUUUUAUGACACUGUAAUAGUCAUUUUUCUGUCUCACAAGUUUGUUAGGCAGGCCUCUUUUUACUAAAAGAUAUGUUAAUAGAUGAACAGAUCCCAGGCCAUGUGAAUUUUAGCCAAACAGCACAGGCUUUUUUAUGUGGUAAGAUGUACAGAGUUCCAUUUACCCAAUGUUCUUAAACUUAAAGAAAAGUAGUUUCAUUGAGCCAAAGACAAUACAGUACAGUGAAAACUCAUAUUCCACCUUCAGCCAAUAACAACUGCAACUAAAAGAUUAUUUGAGAAGGCAAAGAGAGUGAAGUCGUAAACUCUGUAUUAUAUAAACUGUAAAAUAUGCAUUGUAAGAGCAUCUUAAUAAAUGUCAUGUAUUUGCAAACAAAGAUACAUGUUUUGUUUUUUUCACUACCUGUAGAUUUAGGUCUCUGAAGUUUGCAUGUAUACAGACACCACUUUUGAGAUUAUCUGAUGACCUAUGGAAUUUUGAAACAUUAUCAGUAUAAUUGUUUUCUAUAAAAUUGUUUUCUAAUUAUAUUCAGAACAGGUACUCUAUUCCUUUUUUAUAGACUAUGUCUUCUGUGCUUGUAUCUUAGCAUGUAACUCCUAAGUUCAAGCCAUUUUUAUGUCAAUACAUGUAGACAUCUGGAAUCAAACUGAAAGUAAGGCUUUAUUUACAUUUGAUUAUCUAUGUGGUUAAUUACCAAAAAUUAUGGGUUAGGAUUUGGUUUACUAGAAAAUUUUAAACCAUGUGUUGAAAUUUGGGUUGUAACCACUUUAACAAAGUGUGGGCUUACUGUCAGCACUACUCUGUUAAUUGAAAGUCACGAUUCAGAAUGAAAAUAGAUACUUCUUGAUCUCUUACUUCACUUACCUGAAAAAGUAGAUACCAAAGAAUAGGUGAUGGGAAAUUAUAUUUCUCUCUUGCUAAAUAUAUGUUUGAAGAUGUGUGUAUGUAAUCUGCUUGUUUACCCCUAGCACAUAAAACCAGGUGAUGGUAUCUGCACACUCAUCAUCCAUUGCAGUUGUGACCUUUGUUGUGACCGUCCCUGCAGCCCUGCUCCAUUCAUGUAAUUCACCUUCACGGUUACCCUCACAAGGUGCUUUACACUCAAACUGUUAGACUGCCUUUAGACUCCAUUUGAAAAUCUCAGUCUUUGCUGUCAAUGAAAGAAAUGAGCAGAAAAAAAGAAACUAAAAGGAAAGAACAGAAGAAUUUAAGACAUCUUAUCUGGUAAGUCUCCAUUAUUUGAUGUCAACAUUAAGACAUUUCAUUCACGGAAGAGCUAUGUAAACAAAUCACUAAUCUAUAAUAUUUUGUUUUUAAGGAGCUGCCCUGGUUUUUUCAAAUUCUGGCAAGUAUUUUCUUUUUCCCUACAGUUAACUUUACGUUUUUUAAAUGAAAACUUUUCUUUCUGGCCUGAUGCUUUUUUGUCUUGUAGGUAUCUGGUGCCUUUGCCUUCCUCCAAGAUUCUCACAGAGAACUGGAACAUCAAGUCAGAAGCUCACUUAGUUUGUUUUAUGACAUUACCAUUGGGGAUUUUGUUUAGUGCCUGACUGUGCUGUGUGUCACACUGUUUUAAGAACUUUGUCACUGAGGACAGUCAUUGCCUAUCCUCCAAGACAUUGAAGUUUUUAAGUCAGACAAUUUGAAACCACCAGACGUAAGAAAAACCAAACAACAGAGCCAAUAUUGAACAAGGACAGAGAUAACUGCUAUUAUGAUACACAAAUCUUAAGGGGGUCUGAACUCUAAUUUCUGUCUUCCCAGCCCUGUGAAACCGCCAGAAGUUCUGCUCAGCUUCUGAGCUGCCGCUUCCUGCUCGGUGGGUGUCCCAGUGUGCCGUCCUGCACCGAAUGGGGCAGCUGCCCCAGGCGGAGAAGUACUGGGUGGAGCUCAGGCCCAGCUCUUUCUUCAUGCUUGGCAUUUGGCGUUUCCAACAACUUGAAUCAACAGACAUGCUAGUAACUGUUGCAUGGACUUCCUUCUCUGAUUUUUCAUACGUCCCAGAAACACACCAUCCCAUGUUACAAGGAUGGAAAUCCAAAGAAUUCUUACCUUUAUUUCUUAACAUUGCCUAGUUUCAGUGUACUACUGGUCAGUCCUAUGUGUUUCCUACCUAACCUGCCUUAUCCAGACUUUUCUUACUCCAAUUUUAGAAAUAAAAAAUAUAUUUCUGAGA
Molecule: RNA transcript, 8744 nt
Organism: Manis pentadactyla (Chinese pangolin)
Lineage: Eukaryota; Metazoa; Chordata; Mammalia; Pholidota; Manidae
Gene: CDON
Gene name: cell adhesion associated, oncogene regulated
Exons: 22
Source: RefSeq, a predicted model, not a curated record